Long non-coding RNA from Oreochromis aureus, 1608 nucleotides. RefSeq lists it as uncharacterized. The record is from RefSeq and is a predicted model, not a curated record. The annotation marks the transcript as partial. Lineage: Eukaryota; Metazoa; Chordata; Actinopteri; Cichliformes; Cichlidae. The transcript is spliced from 4 exons.
AUCUGAGACAUCUAAACCUGAGCCACAAUGACUUGGAGAAUUCAGGAGUGAAGAAACUAUGUGAUUUUCUGAAGAAUCCCCACUGUCUAUUGGAGACUCUGAGAUUGCAGUGCUGCAGUUUGUCAGAGAUCAGCUUUGAUUACCUGCUUCCAGCUCUUCAGUCCAACUCCUCCCAUUUGAAACAUCUGGACCUGAGCUGGAACAACCUUCAGGAUUCAGGAGUGAAGCAGCUGUGUGUUUAUCUGAAGACUUCAGAUUGCAGACUGGAGACUCUCAGAUUAUGGGGCUGCAAGUUGUCAGAGACCAGCUGUGAUUAUCUGUUCAAAGCUCUUCAGUCCAACUCUCAUCUGAGAGAGCUGGACCUGACCAAGAACAACCUGCAGGAAUCACAUGUGAAGCAGCUGUCUGAGCUUGUGGACAGCCCACAUCACACACUGGAGGUUCUCAAAUGGAAGGACCCAUAAACACAGUUGUUUGUCUUUGUUGUGUGUGUGUGGUGUGUGUGGUGUGUGUGCGCACGCGUGUCCUGAUGGUCCAGAGAGGUUGAAACACCAGCAGCUUGUGUGUAGUGAUGCUGUGACAAGAACAUGCUGCAGGGAGGUGGAGUGGACAGCAGAGCUUCAUCCAGCAGUGACAGAAAUCAGACGUGCAGAUGGCUGACAGUGCUGUAAACAUGCUCUGAGAGCUCCUCUGUUAGACACCAUGUAGAAUCUAUCGUCAUCCCUUUGUGUUGUUUUGGAUCAUCACAGUGUCUUUUUGCAGACACAAGGUUCAGUUUUAUUUUCUUUGAAAAGUUUCCUAAAUACAUUUCAAUAUCUUUUGUAUAACUGAUGUAAUUUUAAGUUAUUUAUCAUGGUUUUGAAAUACAUCAUGUGACAAUGACUUCAAGUAUCCUUCUUGAAACAGCAAAUGUUUUUUCAUCUACAUAAUCUGUAUAGUGCAACUGAUCAGGAAAAAUGUUCAAUAAUUGAAAAAAAAGGUGAACAUUUGAUAGAUUUGUUUUAUACUUUGUAACAUAAUAACUGGGAACAUGAGAUAUAACCACUAUUAUGGAGAAUUUUAAACUGUCCAGAGUUUGGUGUACUAUAUAUCUUCAGUAAUUUAGAUAAUGAAAGUAUCUAGUGGUUGAGCAGAUGAAGUGCAGGAGGUAGAGGUUUUUUCAUGGAUGCAUGGAUGGAUCAUUGUCGCAGCAGUCUAUCAAUUUCUGCACAGUCGUAACCGACAGAAUUUGAUAAAUUAAUUACAGAAAGAAGGACACUGAGAAAAAAGAGAGCCGUGCUUUAACAAUGGCCUUGUUUGCAGCAGUGGCUGCCACAGGUAAAUAUGCACACGGAGUCGGAACCAGGAGUGGUGGGAAUGGUUUGUCUUCAGAUAUGUAUCUGAUUCAGUACCACAUAUGAAAGUGACCCAGGUCGGAUUUGAAAAUAUCAGAUUUGUGCUGUUCAAACUGUCAGACCAUGAUCGGAUAUGGGCCGCAUAGGGUCAGAAAAGUCAGAUUUGAUGCACUUUUGCCUGCAGUGUGAAUGUAGCCUUAGUUAUCUGUCAGUAAUGAACCUUAAUGUUUUAUAUGGAUAAUAAGGAUCAAUAAAUGUGUGGAUUUGAAUCAAA